GCCAGCCCGCUACAGAAACUUAAAGGAAUUCGACGGGGGCCCGCACAAGCGGUGAGCAUGCGGUUAAUUCGAAGCAACGCGAAGAACCUACCAGGCCUUGACAUGCAGAGAACUUUCCAGAGAUGGAUUGGUGCCUUCGGGAACUCUGACACAGGUGCUGCAUGGCUGUCGUCAGCUCGUGCCGUGAGAUGUUGGGUUAAGUCCCGUAACGAGCGCAACCCUUGUCCUUAGUUACCAGCACGUUAUGGUGGGCACUCUAAGGAGACUGCCGGUGACAAACCGGAGGAAGGUGGGGAUGACGUCAAGUCAUCAUGGCCCUUACGGCCUGGGCUACACACGUGCUACAAUGGUCGGUACAAAGGGUUGCCAAGCCGCGAGGUGGAGCUAAUCCCAUAAAACCGAUCGUAGUCCGGAUCGCAGUCUGCAACUCGACUGCGUGAAGUCGGAAUCGCUAGUAAUCGUGAAUCAGAAUGUCACGGUGAAUACGUUCCCGGGCCUU
This 499-nucleotide ribosomal RNA is filed under the name uncultured Pseudomonas sp. RNAcentral's name for it is "bacterial SSU rRNA". It matches the Rfam family "Bacterial small subunit ribosomal RNA", at positions 903 to 1382 of the family's 1533-position model. The record is from RNAcentral. Lineage: Bacteria; Pseudomonadati; Pseudomonadota; Gammaproteobacteria; Pseudomonadales; Pseudomonadaceae.